GUUACUGAUUAGUAAUUUGGAACUUGCUUUUUAAAAAAAAAUCAUGUUAACUCCAGCAGUAAUUUCCGUACAGUCUGGUCGUUAUCUAAAAGGGACCAUCAGUCACUGCAGACUACUCCUAUUAAUGAAGGCACCAAUGAUGUUUCUCUUUUUUAAAAACUCAGAUGAAGAAACUCUGAUUAGAGAGGUUUAAAUAACUUGACCAAGACAUGGGACACGUGAGCGUCAUGGCGAGGGACUGAACCUUGAUUGCUCUGACUUCAACUCCUGAGAUUCUAACGAUGGUCCUCCACCGCUGCUCAGAUCAAGGUUAAUGACAUCUUCAUUUCUACAUUUCUCUGACAUGUUGUAUUGACUCUUCUUCAUUUUGCUGUUAGCAUUCCAGUAUAAGCUUUCUGGUUGCUUCCUCACUGCAUGCUGAUAUGAUUUGGCUGUAUCUUCACCCACAUCUCAUUUUGUAUUGUAGCUCCCAUAAUUCCCACGUGUUGUAGGAGGGACCCAGUGGGAGAUAACUGAAUCAUUGGGGAGGAUUCCCCCAUACUGUUCUCGUGGUAGUGGGUAAGUCUCCUGAGACCUGAUAGUUUUAUAAGGGGAAAUCCCUUUUGCUUGGAUCUCAUUUUUUCUCUUGUCUCCCGCCAUGUGAGAUGUGCCUUUUGCCUUCCACCAUGAUUAUGAGGCCUCCCCAGCCACGUGGAACUAUUCAGAUGAUCAGAGAACUUACCGUGAAG
Molecule: long non-coding RNA, 728 nt
Filed under: Homo sapiens (human)
Lineage: Eukaryota; Metazoa; Chordata; Mammalia; Primates; Hominidae
Description: HSALNT0345379
Source: RNAcentral